UUUUUUUUUUUUUUUUGCUUUUUGGCUGCGCCCAUGGCAAUAUGGAAGUUCCCAGGCCAGGGAACAAACCUGCCCCACAGCAGCAAUCCAAGACUCUUGCAGUGACAACACCAGAUCCUUGAUCCCCUGCACCUGCCACAAGAAAACCCCUGCACCCACCACAAGAAAACCCCCAAGUCCUAACCCUUGAUAUCUCUGAAUGUGAUCUUACUUGGAAACAGGGCCUUUAAAGCUGUAAUUAGGUUAAAUAUCUUGAGAUAAGAUCAUCCUGGACAGAGGAUGCAGGAUUCAAAGCCCCAUCUGCGAUCUAGUGAUUACAUAAGAGAAAGAAGAGGGAGAUUCGAGACAGAUUGACAGGGGAGAAGGCCAUGUGAAGAUGGGCUCAGAGACUGGUGUCCAAAGCCCCAAGCCCAGGAAUGCCUCUGGCCACCAGAAACUGAAAGAUCCUCCAGCAAAAAAGAACUCUGAUGGAGCCUCCAGAGGGAGCUCAGCCCUGCUGAGACUUUAAUUGCAGAUGUCUGGCCCUACAACUGUAAGGGAAUAAGAUCCUGCUGUCUUAACCCACCGGGUUUGUGUGAUUUGUUACAGCAGCCCAGGAGGCUAAUGCAACACACAAUUUGCAAAGGACUUAGAUUCAAAAUACACAGUCUUUUAGCUAUACCAUUAAGAGACAAACACCCAUCAGAAACACUGACCAGGAGUUCCCGUCGUGGCACAGUGGUUAACAAAUCCGAGUAGGAACCAUGAGGUUGCGGGUUCGGUCCCUGCCCUUGCUCAGUGGGUUAAGGAUCCAGCGUUGCCGUGAGCUGUGGUGUAGGUUGCAGACGCGGCUCGGAUCCCGCGUUGCUAUGGCUCUGGUGUAGGCUGGUGGCUACAGCUCCGAUUAGACCCCUAUCCUGGGAAUCUCCAUAUGCCACGGGAGCGGCCCAAUAAAUAGCAAAAAGACAAAAAAAAAAAAAAAAAAAAAAAAAAGAAAGAAACACUGACCAAAUACUUAAAAAAAAAAAAAAAUCCAUGUAAGACGAUCCACAAAAAGAUGCUCAGCUUCUUUGGUCACCAGAAAAUUAAAAUUAAAACCAAAAUAUGAUGAAACUAUACCACCCACACCAGAAUGGUGUAGAUGAAAAAAGUCAGGCAGCGCUGAUGCUGAACACAUUACAUUCAUUCUUUGACUGGCAAUUCUUCCCUACUAAGUCUUUUAUAUCAAUUGUCAGUCCAUCCUCACAGUAAUCCUCUGAAGCAUAUACAACCAUUUUACAGGUGAGGAUAAAGAGGGUUUGGAAGGUAAAACAAUUUUCCAAGGUCUAGGAUCCAUCUUGCUCUAAUGUCCCUGUGCUAUGCACACGAUUAUUUCUCCAUGAAAUAAGGCACAUGAGGCAUUGGGGACUACAGAUCUGCAGAAAACAAAACGCGCUAGAGUAUAAAGAGGUAAAGCCACAAAAAGGCAGGGUAUGAAGUGAGAAUAAAAAGUGUAAAUUCCUUUUAUUGGAGAAAAAUCUCUAGCAUCGUGUUGCCCCAUACCCACCCCUUCACAAAACAAGUUAUCAACCACACUAACCUCCAGAUCCUGUGGUUCUGGCUCCACAUAUGUACUUUUGCCCUGUACAACCUUCCUAUCCCAGUUCUCCCAAUAUCCAUACAUGCCUCGACGAAACAUCUAGUCACAUGGCAAUAUCACAGAAGUUUCUCCAUGCGUUCAUCAAGAUGGACAAAGCAAGCAAACUGAUAGAAAACUAGUGUCCUAAUUGCAUCAGCCACUCUAAAAAUCAAAUUUGAUAGCUUAUAUAUGGAGGUGAUUGCUUGUUAACCAGUGGUUGUUAUGAGUUUAUUAAAAUAAUUCAAUCUGACCAAAGAGCCUUAUUCUUCCUCACCCUGGAUGCCCCAAUCUGUUGUACAAGUCUCCUCAUAAUGAGUUGUAUCCCUGGAUUUCAGAGUGCUUUUAAAACAUCACACUUCUAUUCUGAGACAUUUUCAUUGCAUUUCUGUGGACUAUUUAAAUCUAAGUUUGCCAUAAAUUGAGGUGAUCCAACAGUUCCAACUAGAAGGAUAAAGUCUAGCCCAGUGGGGGAGGCAUUAAACCUCCUUGCAAGUCAGCAAAAGCAAAAGUGACAGCCUGGUAGCGAUUUAAAAUUACUGAGACCACAACUGCCAAUUAAAAUAGACUUUCAUGGUAACAGAUGAACAUCUGCUCUCUUCCAUUUGGAAAGAAAGAUUAAAGAGAGUUUACGUUUCUUAGUCAUGAAAAACUUAGAUAUAAGCCUGUAAUGUUUCAGUUUGGGCUGUGCUUAAAGUAUAUAUUCUUUCAUUAUGCCUUCCAACAGCACUACAUUUCCUUUUGUGCUGUUUUUUUUUUAAAAUAGCCACAAAAUGUUCAUAACAAAACAAACUAGGCAAAAGUCAGAAUCCAUGAUUCAUUCACAGUCAUUCUAAAAGCUGCACAUUAUCCUCCUCUCAUCUCCUACAAAAAUAGAUUUGGAGGAGAUUAUCCUAAAGAUGCUAUUUUGAUGAAAUGUAUGUGAUCUGAAUUCUGAAAAAGGAUUCCUGGAAAAGGACGCUCAGAUAUCAUAUGGAGAAAGAGGAAAAAAGGGAUGGGAAGAGAAAGGAAUAGACACGCGCACGCGUGCACACACAAACACACACACACACACCACAGUCUAGACUCCUAGUGGUUGCAGUUUGGUUCUUACUGUGCUGUUUAUUCAUAACCCCCCAUAUAUAAUCAAGUUUUCAAAUAUGUGGAUUCUUUCUGUUGUUGUUGUCGUUAUAUAAUGAUUUUUUUCCCACUAUAGCUGGUUUACAGUGUUCUGUCAAUUUUCCACUGUACAGCAGAGUGACCCAGUUACACACACAUAUAUACAUUCUUUUUUCUCACAUUUUCAUGUUCCAUCGUAAGUGACCAGACAUAGUUCCCAGUGCUACACAGCAGAAUCUCAUUGCUAAUCCAUUCCAAAGGCAAUAGCCUGUAAUAAGUUAUAUUUGAUUAGAGAAAAUCACACCACGUAUUACCUUACCUUUUACAUUUGAAGGAUUCUAGGAUAAUAAAUAAUCCCUUUAGCGAGAGAGGUCUUACACUCAAAUGUCACAUCUUUUGAGAAAUCUGCUCUUGCUAUCUCAAUUCAUCCAUUACAUCUACUUCCUGCAACAUAUACCUCCACUAUACUAAUCAGCAUUGAAAAAUAUUGUUUAUUGUUAUGUUUUAUUGUCAUAUGUUCCUAAACAAACUUUGACAUAUUUCUACUUCUUAUCCAAGACCCCAGCCUAACACAGAAAUGACAUAAAAUAAAACCUUGAUGGCUAAAUGAGUAAAGCCAAGAAAAAUUAUCCUGAAGGGAACCUCAAUCAUUUCUGCCAAUCAAUUACUAGUCAAUCUCUUUGAUUUCACAUGCAAACCUCAAGUUCUCCUCAUGCUCAAAACCUAUUUUCUCUCUCCAUUUCUUUAAUAAUGUGUGACCUAGAUAAGCACAUUAGUAUUAAGAGGAAGCCUUCUCCAUACCUACUUGUCAUACACACAAGGUGCUCCUCAAGAAAACCUAGACUUUACCCACCCUAGUUACACAGCAUCCGUUCCCCCCACAACUUUUGCUCACCAUCUGGUCAAAAACAGUUCCUGAUGUCAUUUCCUUUUCAGACACACAUCUGUCUUUAUUUGCUCAACAAAUUCAACCUUUCUUCACACUGCUUCUCAAGCCUGUGUUGAAAUGAGGAGACAGUCGAUGAACCAGAAGGAGGAAAAGCAUCAAAGAGAAAGGCAAAAGACUUACUUGUGUGAUGUGUGACUCCUAAAUGCUGGCACUGUGUCCAGCCUGUGAAAUAAAUUAUAACACCUCUACCUUUGCAUAUGGUGAUAUUAAAAUGUGGAGAGAGGGGGUAGUUUUUCCAUACAUGGAAGACUCAAAGAUCUGUCUUUCGGUCCAGAGAAAAGUAUGAGAACUUGCUUUCUGCUAUGAGAACUUAAACUCCUUGAAUUCAGGGCCUAUGUCUUAUUUACCUUGUAUCAAAUCACACCAGGUAAUCCAUUCAUGACUGUUAAGUAAAUGAGUAAAAUGUGCCCAUCACAGGACUUCCCUAGGCGGCCCCAUCUAAAAACUUUACUCUCCCAUUACCUUCUUCAAGGAGAACAAAGAAUUAUGAUGUUUAAAGUUAUGGCAAUAUAUUACCAAUUUCUCCAGUUUUAG
Molecule: long non-coding RNA, 4175 nt
Filed under: Sus scrofa (pig)
Lineage: Eukaryota; Metazoa; Chordata; Mammalia; Artiodactyla; Suidae
Description: lncRNA (ENSSSCG00000063469.1)
Source: RNAcentral